Molecule: long non-coding RNA, 1020 nt
Filed under: Solanum tuberosum (potato)
Lineage: Eukaryota; Viridiplantae; Streptophyta; Magnoliopsida; Solanales; Solanaceae
Description: long non-coding RNA (STUB_LNC010219)
Source: RNAcentral
UCAUGGAGUGUGGUCUUACUGGAUUGGCAGCAACACCUAAGUUCACUGGACCACAGGUACUUCUUCUCCUUAUUAUUUGACAAUUCUCAGGGAGCUCAAUUUUUGUAACAUGAGCUGACCUCAACCUAAUGCUAAAUAUUUAUUUUAUUGCAUAUACAACUAUUACAGAACUAUCUCGAUGGCAAGUCCAACUGAUUUUUCUUGUUAAAUCUUGAGAGCACUGUGAUGCAAGUGAAAAUGAUGCUUGAAUGGGUUGGAGUAAUAAUAGAAAAAUAAGAAAGUUUAAAUAUUUACGAUUUGGAUAUAUUAUUCUAAUAAAAGUCUUUAUAUGUGGACAUGUUAAAGGAAAUACCUGAUAAAAUUCCACAUUCAACUUUUCUAAGUGAAUUAGGCUAAACUUUGACACUAAAAGUUAGAUAAAUCAAUAAUUAUGUAAUUUUCAAUAGUUUUGCUUUACAGGAAAGUAGAUAGCCAUUUGUCUUUGAUAAACAUCUUUACUUUGUAAUAGUAAUAACAAAUUAAUGUCAAGAGCAUAACUAUUCUUCCAAACCAUUUAAUAUGUCUAGAAUAAGUUUUUGUUACACAUAGCUUAAUUUUCUGUUCUGUUUCUUAUAUUUUCUUAUGUGUUGAAGACAAUGUUUGACAACAAAGGACAUGUAAAUCAAAGGAAAAUGAAUUUUAUCCAAAUAAUAUUUCACAUGUACAACCCUCCAACUAUAUAUUUUGCAAUUUUCCUUGAUAUUUUAGUAGCAAUUUUCACUUCAGUUCUUUCUAACAUUUGAACUGUUAAUUUGAAUAUUUGCAUAUUUGCAGACAAGAUCUCACUGGGUUCGAGCAUCUUUUAUUUAAGGUCAAAUGAUAUCUAAUGUAUGGCUAUUACUCAUUCUGGCUAAUGACUUUUGCUAAUUAUCAAACAUUGUAGAGGGAAGCCAUAGGGCUCGUGUGUGUAGGCACUUUAAACCUUGAUAUGACAUUUUAUUCAAUAUAAUGGAGUUUAAAAACUCUGCUCUAUUUUUCAAG